This 408-nucleotide ribosomal RNA is filed under the name uncultured bacterium. Its description in RNAcentral is "bacterial SSU rRNA". It matches the Rfam family "Bacterial small subunit ribosomal RNA", at positions 772 to 1171 of the family's 1533-position model. The record is from RNAcentral.
ACUCAAUAGAUACCCCGGUAGUCCACGCCGUAAACGAUGAUAACUAGCUGUCGGGGGCCAUGGGCUUUCGGUGGCGCAGCUAAACGCAUUAAGUUAUCCGCCUGGGGAGUACGGCCGCAAGGUUAAAACUACAAAGAAAUUGACGGGGGCCGUGCACAAGCGGUGGAGCAUGUGGUUUAAAUUCGAAGCAACGCGCAGAACCUUACCAGCGUUUGACAUCCUGAUCGCGGUUACCAGAGAUGGUUUCCUUCAGUUCGGCUGGAUCAGUGACAGGUGCUGCAUGGCUGUCGUCAGCUCGUGUCGUGAGAUGUUGGGUUUAAAGUCCCGCAACGAGCGCAACCCUCGUCUUUAGUUGCCAUCACUCAGUUGGGCACUCUAAAGAAACCCGCCGGUGAUAAGCCGGAGGAA